RNAcentral lists this non-coding RNA (24 nucleotides) under Arabidopsis thaliana (thale cress). The record is from RNAcentral. Lineage: Eukaryota; Viridiplantae; Streptophyta; Magnoliopsida; Brassicales; Brassicaceae.
AUCCACGUUUUCGGACUUGGUAGG